Molecule: transfer RNA, 76 nt
Filed under: Candidatus Nitrosomarinus catalinensis
Lineage: Archaea; Thermoproteati; Nitrososphaerota; Nitrososphaeria; Nitrosopumilales; Nitrosopumilaceae
Description: Candidatus Nitrosomarinus catalina tRNA-Ile
Rfam family: tRNA
About the family: Transfer RNA (tRNA) molecules are approximately 80 nucleotides in length. Their secondary structure includes four short double-helical elements and three loops (D, anti-codon, and T loops).
Source: RNAcentral
GGGCUCGUAGCUCAGCUUGGCUAGAGCGUUCGACUGAUAAUCGAAAGGCCAUGAGUUCGAAUCUCAUCGGGCCCAC